Molecule: ribosomal RNA, 721 nt
Filed under: Boana albopunctata (spotted treefrog)
Lineage: Eukaryota; Metazoa; Chordata; Amphibia; Anura; Hylidae
Description: partial 16S ribosomal RNA
Rfam family: Bacterial large subunit ribosomal RNA
Source: RNAcentral
AACGGCCGCGGUAUCCUAACCGUGCGAAGGUAGCGUAAUCACUUGUUCUUUAAAUGAGGACUAGUAUGAAUGGCACCACGAGGGUUAAGCUGUCUCCUUUUUCUAAUCAGUGAAACUAAUCUCCCCGUGAAGAAGCGGGGAUUGUACUAUAAGACGAGAAGACCCUAUGGAGCUUAAAACAAAUUAACACCUGCUUCUAUCCAUUUUUACUCCUGAACUAACACAUAAAAUAUAGCAUCGUUGAUUAAUAGUUUUCGAUUGGGGUGAUCAUGGAGUAAAAACCAACCUCCACGACGAAAAGGAACACUUCCCUGAGCUAAAAGCUACAACUUUAAGCACUAAAAAAUUAACGCACUUUGACCCAAAUUUUUGAGCAACGAACCAAGUUACCCUAGGGAUAACAGCGCAAUCCAUUUCAAGAGCCCCUAUCGACAAAUGGGUUUACGACCUCGAUGUUGGAUCAGGGUAUCCCAGUGGUGCAGCCGCUACUAAAGGUUCGUUUGUUCAACGAUUAAAACCCUACGUGAUCUGAGUUCAGACCGGAGAAAUCCAGGUCAGUUUCUAUCUAUAAAGGGCUUUUUCUAGUACGAAAGGACCGAAAAAGCAUGGCCAAUGAUCAAUUAAGCCAUAUAAAUUACUCAUGUUUUCAACUCAAUUAGAAACAAACCUACCACAAACCUCAAAAAAAGAGAAGUUAACGUAGCAAAACCUGGCCCUGCAA